Molecule: long non-coding RNA, 862 nt
Organism: Perca flavescens (yellow perch)
Lineage: Eukaryota; Metazoa; Chordata; Actinopteri; Perciformes; Percidae
Exons: 2
Source: RefSeq, a predicted model, not a curated record
UCCCGGGUGCCACAUUUGUUUAUUAGGCAUGAACAUGACUAGCCUGCUCGCUGAUUGGCUAGUAGUCGUUACCUUCGUUGGGAUUGUUGUAAAUGAAUCUGGCUAAACCAUAGACUGUAUAUAUAAGUAUGUAUAUAAGGGCUAAACAGGAGGUGUCGUUUUUAAAUCAGCCUGAAAAAGAGUUAAAAUAAGAAUGUCAGGGUAAGCCAAUCAGAGGCAGAAUAAUGUAGAGUAGGGCGGGGAAUGCCUUCUUUGCCAUCCUGGGAAAAGAAUACUCGCAUCCCAAGCAAGUAGCUUGCUAGCUAGACAUCGAAAGCGACAUCCGUACGAACUUCGAAGCAGCAACUGCACACCAAAGAGAUGAUGUCCAUUCGUCAAAAGAUUAUAUUGAGAAAGGAGUUGGAAUUAUGCUAUUUACUAAUUGCCACAACUGUUCUCUGUAAACCUGGCAACAGUUGUCUGAGAGUUUUUCACUGUCAGACAACUUUCACUGAAGCCUGGGCCCCCUGUCCGAAAAUGCGACAUGGCACCCCACCGCUCAGCAACCGCUGGGGUCAGGUGUGCUGCCACAUGGGCGGCAGUGAAGGUCAGGGGCCUUGAUGGACCAAACCUGGGCGGCAGUAAUGGAGCGCUGGAGUUAAAUUCAUGCAUGUGUAUGAGUGUUUUAAUUUAUUUACAUACAUUUAUGAUGUCUCAAUAUCUUCUCAAUGUCUUCUCAGAUGAAGGAAAUCCUUUAAAGUGAGGAUAUUUUUCAGGUCUUUACAGGUUAAGUGUAAACAUUCUUGAAUUCAAAACCCCAUCGUUUUUAAGUUUCAUGAUGUGUUUCAAAAAUGUAUCAAUUAAAGGUUCAACAUAUAAACGA